Molecule: transfer RNA, 69 nt
Filed under: Amara aulica
Lineage: Eukaryota; Metazoa; Arthropoda; Insecta; Coleoptera; Carabidae
Description: tRNA-Ser
Source: RNAcentral
AGUUAAUGAACUUGAAAUAAGUAUAUAUUUUGAAAAUAUAAAAUAGAAAAUAAAACUUUCUAUUAACUU